UACACCUGUACCCAUGCCGAACACAGAAGUUAAG
RNAcentral lists this ribosomal RNA (34 nucleotides) under Streptococcus pneumoniae. Lineage: Bacteria; Bacillati; Bacillota; Bacilli; Lactobacillales; Streptococcaceae. The record is from RNAcentral.